RNAcentral lists this ribosomal RNA (158 nucleotides) under Trametes suaveolens. RNAcentral's name for it is "5.8S ribosomal RNA". It matches the Rfam family "5.8S ribosomal RNA". From Rfam's summary of the family: 5.8S ribosomal RNA (5.8S rRNA) is a component of the large subunit of the eukaryotic ribosome. It is transcribed by RNA polymerase I as part of the 45S precursor that also contains 18S and 28S rRNA. Functionally, it is thought that 5.8S rRNA may be involved in ribosome translocation. Lineage: Eukaryota; Fungi; Basidiomycota; Agaricomycetes; Polyporales; Polyporaceae. RNAcentral also lists the same sequence under 1 other name. The record is from RNAcentral.
CAACUUUUAGCAACGGAUCUCUUGGCUCUCGCAUCGAUGAAGAACGCAGCGAAAUGCGAUAAGUAAUGUGAAUUGCAGAAUUCAGUGAAUCAUCGAAUCUUUGAACGCACCUUGCGCUCCUUGGUAUUCCGAGGAGCAUGCCUGUUUGAGUGUCAUGA